AGAGUUUGAUCCUGGCUCAGGACGAACGCUGGCGGCGCGCUUAACACAUGCAAGUCGAGCGAGAACCAGGACUUCGGUCCUGGGGACAGCGGCGAACGGGUGAGUAACACGUGGGUAAUCUGCCCUCGAUUCUGGGAUAGCCCGGGGAAACUCGGAUUAAUACCGGAUAGCCUUCCAGGUUCUCGGACCGGGAAGAAAAGGUAGCUUCGGCCUCCGAUCGAGGAUGAGCCCGCGGUGGAUUAGCUUGUUGGCGGGGUAAUGGCCCACCAAGGCGACGAUCCAUAGCUGGUCUGAGAGGACGAUCAGCCACACUGGGACUGAGACACGGCCCAGACUCCUACGGGAGGCAGCAGUGGGGAAUCUUGCGCAAUGGGCGAAAGCCUGACGCAGCGACGCCGCGUGGGGGAAGAAGGCCUUCGGGUUGUAAACCUCUUUCAGGUGGGACGAAGCCACUCGGGUGAAUAGCCCAGAGGGUGACGGUACCACCAGAAGAAGCCCCGGCUAACUACGUGCCAGCAGCCGCGGUAAUACGUAGGGGGCAAGCGUUGUCCGGAUUUAUUGGGCGUAAAGAGCGUGUAGGCGGCCAGGUAGGUCGGUUGUGAAAACUGGAGGCUCAACCUUCAGACGUCGACCGAAACCAUCUGGCUAGAGUCCGGAAGAGGAGAAUGGAAUUCCUGGUGUAGCGGUGAAAUGCGCAGAUAUCAGGAAGAACACCCGUGGCGAAAGCGGUUCUCUGGGACGGUACUGACGCUGAGACGCGAAAGCGUGGGGAGCGAACAGGAUUAGAUACCCUGGUAGUC
Molecule: ribosomal RNA, 800 nt
Filed under: uncultured bacterium
Lineage: Bacteria
Description: bacterial SSU rRNA
Rfam family: Bacterial small subunit ribosomal RNA
Source: RNAcentral